GGUGAAACGUCUUCAAGUAACUUAAAGAAGUCCAGACGCUUUUCUUUGCAAGCUCCUUUGACUACGAUGACCUGGAUGACUGAGAACCUUCACAGACAUAUGUACUACUUAGAGUACUCAUUUUUCUCUUAGCUCAACCUUUAGGGACUUGUGUGGAGCACCAUUUGAAAAUAUGGAGAUGGGAAUGAGCUAAAUAGACCCACUUAAAUGUAAAAGUGACGGCAGGUCACUUUGAUGGAUUUAGGUUUUAAAAAGGUUAAAGAAUAAAAGGAGAGGGCUGCUGUGACAAUAUGUUUGGUCUGAAGAUCAGUGGUCCUAUGUUGUAUAAAAUCAUCUUAUGUCAUUUUUCAGCAUUUAUUAAGUAAAAAAUUGUUUUAAUCAAAGUGGUUAACCUAGCUUAGCACAAGCACUAGAAGCAAGGGAGACUGUUGGCUAGCAUAGCCAGAUUUAUCUUAAAUAUGUCCUAGAUAGCAGUGGCUUCUACCACUAAUGUAUUCAGCAUGAAUAAAUGUCUUAUUUACAUUGUAUAUCAUAUUAUCUAACAGUUUGUCAUUAGGAGUCAGAAUGAAGUUACCAUUAGCUUUAUGAUAUAAGCCUAUGCUUCCAGCCUGAUUUUUAGCUAGGUUAGCUUGCUUUGAGUUAGCUACGAGUUCAUUUAGAUUUGUGUUAGCUUAAGGUGUUUAAAUGAAUAAAGUGCUCCUACAGGAUUAAUAGUACUAGAUGGAUUGUUAGUAUACAUUACCCUUCAUGUCUAGCUAGCUUCUUUAGUCAACUAAACCUCUUUGAUUCCCUUUCUAGCUAACACGCUUAAGCGCUGCAUCUGAAAUAAUCUAUUCAUUAGGAUAAAAUCUAAAUUAUUUACUAACCAACAACUUGUGCAAUAACCAUUCAGUCUCAAUGUAAAUGAGCAGUCGAGGUCAGAAGUUUAUAUACGCUCAUCUGUAAUAAUUUCUUUGAAAUGUUCGUUUCAUCAAAUGAUCAUACAGCAUACGUCUUUAAUGACUGUUAAAACAUAAGUUUGAAUUUAUUUAUUGUUUUUCCCUAAUCUACAGAGUCAUACAGGCUCAUAGUUGACCAAUCGUUCAUAUAUAUUGGUUGGGACCUUAAUGUUAGUCUGCUUUAUCCAUCCCAAAGCCAGUUUUGUUGUGUGUUUGCUAGAAUGUCCAGCUGUGUCCAAGUCAAUCAUUUUGAAAUGGCAAUUCUUCAUUAUUCUAGUACCACUGGCAGCAAAACAGCCCCAGAGCACAGGUGGUACAGUGUUCUUAGGUUUGAAAGCCUCACUAUUGCUCCUCCAGACAUAUAUCCCUUAUCAUUGUUGCCAUAUAGCUCAAUCUUUGUGUCAUCUGACCAUAAAAUUUGUCUGUUUGAUCAGCAGCAACUUUCAGAGGAGCUUGAAGGUGUUGAUUUUGGGUGGGGGUUUCUUUCUUGGUAGGUAGCCUCUCAGUCCACGGCAAUGUAAAACUUACUCCACUGUGGACAGUGAUGUUGGCGUACCAGUUUCUAGUCCAUGGCAGGCUUGAGGCUCUUGGGUUGUUCCUGAACAUUGUAACAUCCUUGACUACGGCUUCUCAAGUUUCUUUUAGUAGGUUGAUGAAGAUUAUAUAAAAUCUUUUAAGUGUUUGUUACUAUUUGAGCCUGUAUCUAUACUUUUUGAAUUAAGAACAUUUUCUUUAAUCUUUAAAGAUAUGUAUGCUGGACAAUCAUCCCACCCUGUAAAAAGAGCAGCUUAAAGAAGUAAAUAAAAGCCCCAAAUUACCAUGACAUUCAUGCACACGAGUGUGUAUAUAAACCUGUAAGAGUUCACUUUGGUAGGCAUAAACACACAUGUGAAUGACAUACUGUCACACAUACUGAGUGUCUGUACGGGAGUAGGUUAGAGUUGGGUAUGGGAUUUCAGAUGCAGCGCGGUUCUUUGUGCUAAGCUCAGCUAACCACAGAGAUAAAACUGAUGGAGAGCAUUAGUGUUUGCUGUCAGCAUGACCUUUGACCUGUAAGGUACAUGAAUAAAUGUGUUCCCUUCUGUGUUUAAAAUGUUUUUGUUGUUAAUGAGAUUAUGCUGUGUCUUUAUUAGAUUCAGUUUAACUUAUUUUUUUCCCCCAUAGACCAGACAUGUGUUUAUUGGAAAACUGUUUUUUGGAAUGAUUCAAAAGUUUUUCUGUUUCAAUGUUUUAUUAAAAUGUAACAAAGCUGUUAAGUGGAAUGAGUUAUUUCUGUACCCUGGAUUUGACUUUUCCCAGAAAUGGGAAGUUGAAAAUUAUGUGAUCUGGACCUCCAAAGGUUUGAUGAACAAAGUUGGGAAAGACUUAACCUAGUUAAUUUACUUACCUGAAACAGAAUAAUCAAAAAGAUGUGCUGUUUGUUUUAAUGAUAUUAUAGCCAAACUGUUUUGUGUAUAUAUUUCAAACAGUUAAGUCAGAAUGAUUGUUUCAUAUUUAUUAACUUAAAUUCAGAGUACUUGGGGUGUGAAGACUGUGAUAAAAGUGUCAUUUUUUCACACCAAUGUGACCCAUAAUUGAUUAAAUGAACAAGAUUUUUUUUUUUUAUCAGAUAAGAUCCGAAACUGCCAUCUCAACCUAUAAACUCACCAGACGACUGAAUAGUGAGGUUAAAGUUUAAAGAAGAUGUAGGGUAAUUUUCCCAUAGACCUCAACACAAUCGGACUGUUUUGCAAGCAGAUCAGACUCCCCCUGCUGGCCAUUAGAACAAUUACAGGUCCUACACUGUUCUCCCUUUCGACAACCACAGGAUACGUCCGUCUUUGGUGGGGACAAAAACAGACAGCAGGCGGCAGUGAAGGUCGACUUUACCGACUUUAUUUCUGAGUGUGACAUGAAUCAAAAUUUCACCACAGACAGACGAAUCAUCACAAGCUGAAGUACAGGAACACAACGAGAACGUAUUGAUCACAUAGCUGAUGAGCCAUUGCCAAGGUUAUUACCACUUUCCACCAUCUCUCCAUCUUUUUUGAAGGAAAGAAGCUCGAUUUAAUGGCGAACCUGUAACAAUGUAACCACAUUACAGUAAUGAAGAGUCUAACUACAAGCCCCAGAGACCAUUGCAGUAGAUUAUCAGCCAAUCGGAGAGCUUGAGAAAGAAGUUUCUUUUCACAAAUUUGAUUCCGGUGAAUUUUUAGAUUUUGGUUCAUUGAAUGUGCUGGAACAAUGCCUGCUGAGGCUCAUGGGAAAUGUAGUGUUUUAAAGACUCGCACAAACGGAACCGUUUUAUCCUUUUCCAUCUGUUUGACAUUUCUCCUCAUUUUUACAACAAACAACUUGAUAAAUGUUCACGAAAGCAGCAGGAACAAAUGAAAAAGAUGCACAAAUAAAAACCUGAAUGACAACGUAUACUCUUUUCUCUACUCCUUACUCCCUCAUGUACUCCAGAAUCUGAUCAACCAAUAUUUGUGGGUCGUAGUUCAGAGCAGCUCUCCUCCGGCGCCUACGACUCCCAUGAUUCAGUUCCUCUGCGUCACCUGUUGACGUAGUGUCGAUGCGUUUCAUCCUCUGCAGCCCGACCACCUGGGGGUGCAGCUUCUCUCCUUGCUCCUCUCCGUCGUAAUCCUCCAGCCUCUUCACCCUGAGGAGGGGAGGGUCGUUGCUAGGUGAAGGGGGAGCCAGAUCGUCAAGAGAACGGCGGGUUCUUCUGUGGGCGGAGCUAACAGGCUCAGGUGCUUUCGCUGACAGGUCCCUCUUCGCUCUGCGACCAGAGGAGGCGACCGAGGCACCGUUAGGACCGAUGCUGGAGAGUAUCCCAGCAACCAUCCGCCUAAGGAGGGAAUACAUGGCCAUCUUGAAUUUAUUAUUAUUAUUAUUGAUAAUAUUAUUAAACAAAAUAAGUAAGCAAUUUAUUAAUAAAUCAUACUAUUAAUUUACAUCAUAAAAUAAAGAGUCGGUGGUUCAGCAGCUGUGGGCACAUCAUUGGAUCAUUAAGUUCAGUUUUACAUUUUCUAAUAAGUAUAAAACUGAAACAAGUCAAAUGAAGACACAUAAUUAAUAAUAACAUUUCUGAUAUUAGUUCCCAAAUGGUCUUCAGGGAAGUCAAAGUGUGCCUUUAGAUUUUUUUGCUUUUUGCCUUGACGUGUGUCAAAAAAAAAAAAAAAGAUUGAAAAACACGAAAUACAUCCUCUGGAUUGUCACAGUCAGUCCCUGAUGUACUAAAAAUAAAAAUAAACAAUAUCUACUAAAUAUCAUAGAGAUUAACAUAAUUCAGCGCUACGUGCAUCAUGUUUUAAGUUAGUUUUCAAAGUGUGUCUUUUAGAGAGCAGUGCAGUUUAGGACCAAUCUAAACUGGUUCAAAACGUACUUAGAAAACAGGAAAUACUUUGUAUCAAAAGGUAACUUCACAUCUGAGCAGACAAGGAUCACAUGUGGAGUUCCCCAAGGUUCCAUCUUGGGACCCCUUCUGUUUAACAUUUACAUGCUCCCACUGGCACAGAUUAUAAAGAACAACAAAAUAAACUAUCACAGCUAUGCAGAUGAC
Molecule: long non-coding RNA, 4479 nt
Organism: Astatotilapia calliptera (eastern happy)
Lineage: Eukaryota; Metazoa; Chordata; Actinopteri; Cichliformes; Cichlidae
Source: Ensembl